AGGAUGAACGCUGGCGGCGUGCCUAAUACAUGCAAGUCGAGCGAACAGACGAGGAGCUUGCUCCUCUGACGUUAGCGGCGGACGGGUGAGUAACACGUGGAUAACCUACCUAUAAGACUGGGAUAACUUCGGGAAACCGGAGCUAAUACCGGAUAACAUGUUGAACCGCAUGGUUCAACAGUGAAAGACGGUCUUGCUGUCACUUAUAGAUGGAUCCGCGCCGCAUUAGCUAGUUGGUAAGGUAACGGCUUACCAAGGCAACGAUGCGUAGCCGACCUGAGAGGGUGAUCGGCCACACUGGAACUGAGACACGGUCCAGACUCCUACGGGAGGCAGCAGUAGGGAAUCUUCCGCAAUGGGCGAAAGCCUGACGGAGCAACGCCGCGUGAGUGAAGAAGGUCUUCGGAUCGUAAAACUCUGUUAUUAGGGAAGAACAAAUGUGUAAGUAACUAUGCACGUCUUGACGGUACCUAAUCAGAAAGCCACGGCUAACUACGUGCCAGCAGCCGCGGUAAUACGUAGGUGGCAAGCGUUAUCCGGAAUUAUUGGGCGUAAAGCGCGCGUAGGCGGUUUUUUAAGUCUGAUGUGAAAGCCCACGGCUCAACCGUGGAGGGUCAUUGGAAACUGGAAAACUUGAGUGCAGAAGAGGAAAGUGGAAUUCCAUGUGUAGCGGUGAAAUGCGCAGAGAUAUGGAGGAACACCAGUGGCGAAGGCGACUUUCUGGUCUGUAACUGACGCUGAUGUGCGAAAGCGUGGGGAUCAAACAGGAUUAGAUACCCUGGUAGUCCACGCCGUAAACGAUGAGUGCUAAGUGUUAGGGGGUUUCCGCCCCUUAGUGCUGCAGCUAACGCAUUAAGCACUCCGC
RNAcentral lists this ribosomal RNA (865 nucleotides) under Staphylococcus sp. M_A_11/10_4(1). RNAcentral's name for it is "bacterial SSU rRNA". It matches the Rfam family "Bacterial small subunit ribosomal RNA", at positions 26 to 872 of the family's 1533-position model. Lineage: Bacteria; Bacillati; Bacillota; Bacilli; Caryophanales; Staphylococcaceae. The record is from RNAcentral.